AUUGAACGCUGGCGGCAGGCCUAACACAUGCAAGUCGAGCGAGUGGCGGACGGGUGAGUCAUGUCUGUGAAACGGCCCGAGGGAGGGGGAUCACUACUGGAAACGAUAGCUAAUACCGCAUACAAUCGGAUGUGCCCAGUUGGGAUUAGCGAGUGGGGGGGGUAACGGCUAACCUAGGCGACGAUCCCUAGCUGGUCGGAGAGGAUGACCAGCCAAACUGGAACUGAGACACGGUCCAGAAUCCUACGGGAGGCAGCAGUGGGGAAUAUUGCACAAUGGGCGCAAGCCUGAUGCAGCCAUGCCGCGUGUAUGAAGAAGGCCUUCGGGUUGUAAAGUACUUUCAGCUGGGAGGCGUUACCAGCAGAAGAAGCACCGGCUAACUCCGUGCCAGCAGCCGCGGUAAUUC
RNAcentral lists this ribosomal RNA (406 nucleotides) under uncultured bacterium. RNAcentral describes it as "partial 16S ribosomal RNA". It matches the Rfam family "Bacterial small subunit ribosomal RNA", at positions 30 to 526 of the family's 1533-position model. The record is from RNAcentral.